GGAAGUAAAAGUCGUAACAAGGUUUCCGUAGGUGAACCUGCGGAAGGAUCAUUAACGAUUGCUACACAUGCAAAGACCAAAAACGCACGAUUCUGUUGUCUCAUUCGAUUUAACUCGAAAAACUCCUGACUAGUUCAGGAAGGAUGAUGCCGCUCUCGCGCAAGCGAAGAAGUGGCCAUCGUGGUCGUUGUGCGUCAAGCGCUGCGAACGAUGUAAAACAAACAACCGAUGGCCCCUUAUAAAGUAUAAUAUCUCUCGCCAUGGUAUACAGGCCUGGCAUCUGGUACGAGUCUCUCGCAGUCUCAAAACCAACCUUACAACUCUGAGCGGUGGAUCACUUGGCUUGUGGAUGCUAUGAAGACCAUAGCUAAGUGUGAGAAUGGCAGCGAGCCGUCGCUAUAUGCGCUGUCCUCUUCUUAUCACAUGUCGAAUGCACAUUGCGCCCCACCCAGCGGUCGGCUAACAACCUGCAGACAAAAGCCUGUGAGUUGGAACAAAGGCAAGUGUGUGGCCCUCGAGCAACGGCGGGGGAGCCAGGAGCACAUGAGCGUGCGGACCAACUACUCGUGAGUAGUCAGGCUGACCCUAUGGUGGGGCACUCCUAGUCGAGUGUGGUGGAUCGGGCUCAAAUCUCUUAUUGCGCGUAUGCGCGAUUGAGUUUGAGUUUCUUUUUUUGCUUGUGGCUAUUUGGGUCGACAUCAGUCGUGCCCGUAAACAACUGCCUUGGCUCGUGCCUCUGUGCGUAUUACCUCUCGCAGGUGCGUGCAUUGAAAGGCCAUAGCUGGCGAUCACUCUUGCGGCCAGGGCCCUACCUUUGCGGUAGGGCGCAGAGGUCCAAAAGGAUAUGGUAAUACAAGAUGUCGGGUCUCUAGUACUCUAUACCUUCUUGCACACUGAGUAAGGAGAGACUACGCAGUCUCCUUCUCAGAAGAGGCGUUUUUUUUUUUUGGCUGGCUGACAAAGGAUCGUCACUCGUACUACUCGAGAUUGACGUGAGGACUCACAAAUCUGUUGCACACACACACAAAAGCAUGCUGGUUGACUCUUAACACUCCUGACGAGUUCAGGAAGGAUUUUUUCUAGAUGAGGCGUUUUCGAAAGUGUGAAAAAAGCAACAGAUAAAUUCCUAUCGAUCAUUCUGAAGGUUGUUGUUGUUGUUGGGCCUGUGCAAGCGAUGGUAACAGAGAGAGACCCUGAGUAUUUCCAAUAGCCACCACCUCGACUUAGGAGAGGCUACCCGCUGAACUUAAGCAUAUCAGUAAGCGGAGGAAAAGAAACCAAUCAGGGAUUCCCUUAGUAGGGGCGACCGAACAGGGAUGAGCCCAGCGCAUAACCUCCCGGGCCACCCGGCCUGCGGCGGAAUGUUGCGUUAAGGGAAAGGUCGUAGUCAAACCCCACAGCCACGCGAACUCUAAGUAAGUCACGAAUUGGCUAUCCCAACUAACGGCGGGAAAAUCUCCACGGAGGGUGUAAGACCCGUGUGGGCGCGUGCAAAUGCUGUGUGGGUUCGGCCUCUUUUCCCUGAGAGUCGCGUUGCUUGAGCAUGCAGCGCUAAGCAGGUCGUAAACUCGAUCUAAGGCUAAAUAUGUCCACAAGACCGAUAGCGAACAAGUACCGUGAGGGAAAGUGAAAAGCACUCUGAAGAGAGAGUCAA
This 1654-nucleotide ribosomal RNA is filed under the name Niphargus vjetrenicensis. RNAcentral describes it as "eukaryotic LSU rRNA". The stretch from base 1214 to 1654 matches the Rfam family "Eukaryotic large subunit ribosomal RNA", at positions 1 to 391 of the family's 3401-position model. Lineage: Eukaryota; Metazoa; Arthropoda; Malacostraca; Amphipoda; Niphargidae. The record is from RNAcentral.